GUCACUUUGGCGGAGUGGUUGACGCGUUGCCCUGCUGUGGAAGGCAUAGUCAGUAGGCAAUUCCCUCGGGAGCACAGGUUCGAAUCCUGUAGGUGUUU
Non-coding RNA from Lasiosphaeria hispida, 98 nucleotides. The record is from the annotation of a GenBank genome assembly. NCBI's taxonomy places the organism in Eukaryota, Fungi, Ascomycota, Sordariomycetes, Sordariales, Lasiosphaeriaceae.